Molecule: ribosomal RNA, 916 nt
Filed under: uncultured archaeon
Lineage: Archaea
Description: bacterial SSU rRNA
Rfam family: Archaeal small subunit ribosomal RNA
Source: RNAcentral
UUCCGGUUGAUCCCGCCGGAGGCGACCGCUAUUGGAGUUCGAUUAAGACAUGCGAGUCGAGAGCUUUCGGAGCUCGGCAUACUGCUCAGUAACACGUGGGUAACCUGCCCUGUGCUGGGGGAUAACCUCGGGAAACUGAGAACAAUACCCCAUAGUCCACUACGCCUGGAACGGUGAGUGGAUGAAAGCCCCGGCGGCACAGGAUGGGCCUGCGGCGUAUCAGGUAGUAGGGGGUGUAAAGUACCCUCUAGCCUUCGACGCGUACGGGUUGUGAGAGCAAUAGCCCGGAGAUGGAUUCUGAGACAAGAAUCCAGGUCCUACGGGACGCAGCAGUCGCGAAACCUUGACAAUGCGGGAAACCGUGAUCAGGGGACUCCAAGUGCCAGGAGUAAGAUCCUGUGCUUUUCUUUUCUCUUCAAAGGAUUUGGAAUAAGAGGUGGGUAAGGACGGUGCCAGCCGCCGCGGUAAUACCGGCGCCUCGAGUGGUAGUCGAUUUUAUUGGGCCUAAAACGUCCGUCGCCGGUCUGGUGCAUUCGUGGGUAAAUCAACCCGCUCAACGGGUUGAAUUCUGCGAGCACGGCCAGACUAGGGACCGGGAGAGGUGUGGGGUACGCUCGGGGUAGGGGUAAAAUCCUGUCAUCCCGAGCGGACCACCUGUUGCGAAGGCUCCACACUAGAACGGAUCCGACGGUCAGGGACGAAGCCUAGGGGCACGAACCGGAUUAGAUACCCGGGUAGUCCUAGGUGUAAACGCUGUGGACUUGGUGUUGGGAGCUCCCAGAGGGCUCUCAGUGCCGUAGCGAAGGUGAUAAGUCCACUGCCUGGGGAGUACGGUCGCAAGGCUGAAACUUAAAGGAAUUGGCGGGGGAACACCGCAACCUGAGGAUUGUGCGGUUUAAUUGGAUUCAACGCCGGG